GUUCCCAACAGUGACAGAGUGGGAGAAUGUGAUUAGUGAGUAGUUCUUUCCACCAACUUGAAGAGUCCCAUCACUGUCCUGCUCUGAGGGAUGGAGGAAGGUGGGAAGAGUCUGUGAAAAAAGAACAGCAGGAAUUCAGGGUGAAGAAGAUGUGGACUGUGUCUCCAAUGUCUGGUUUGCACAAAAGAGAGCUGGCGCCAUCUAAUUUUUGUGUGGAAAUCCGAAGAUGUCCUAAGGGCAUAGGAAGUUCAGCAAAAUGAAGGAGUGUACUCAAAGCUGAGCCCAGAUACAAACCCAGCCCUUCGUGGUUAUAAAACCUCUUCAUCUGCUGGCUUCUUGCUUUUCAGUAGAGUACCAGGGUCAGACUUCAGCCCACCUGGAAACUCACUAGCAUAACUCAACUGAUGUGAAGAUGAAAUAUUGUCCUCGUAUCCUAACUGACUGCCCCUUUCCUAUAUAAUGAUUGGAAAUUCAAUAUUGACCCAAUUCAACAAAGAUUUUGUGAGCCUUGUCUAUGAGGCAGGCAAGUGGUAAUAAUAGAUAAUAAACUUACUGAGGGCUUAUUGUGUUUGGGGCAUUGUUUCAAGAACAUGAAUGUCUCAUUUAAUUUUCUGAACAACUCUAAGAUAGAUCCAUUAUUAACAACCCCAUUUUACAGAUGAU
This 663-nucleotide long non-coding RNA is filed under the name Homo sapiens (human). Its description in RNAcentral is "HSALNT0306901". The record is from RNAcentral. Lineage: Eukaryota; Metazoa; Chordata; Mammalia; Primates; Hominidae.